Cuculus canorus (common cuckoo) is the source of this 2244-nucleotide long non-coding RNA. RefSeq lists it as uncharacterized. The record is from RefSeq and is a predicted model, not a curated record. NCBI's taxonomy places the organism in Eukaryota, Metazoa, Chordata, Aves, Cuculiformes, Cuculidae. The transcript is spliced from 5 exons.
CGUGACUCGGAGCGAGGGUGGCGGGCAGUAUAAAAUGCCCAGUCCAGGCUUCGAGGGUGGUGGAGCACUGGAACAGCUCCCGGCGACGCAGUCACAGCACCAAGCCUGGAAAUAUUCCAGAAGCAUUUGGCCAAUGCCCUCAAGCCCACGGUGUGAAUGUUGGGGUGUCCUGUGCAGGGGCAGGAGUUGGACUCGAUGAUCCUUAUGGAGCCUCAGUGCCACAUGGCGAUGGCACAGGAUCAUUUUUGGAAGGCCAAUCCCAUGCUUAUCCUAGCAGUUGCAUCCUGUGACCUAGCUGGGCUCAUCCUCCACGCCAAGUUCCUCCCAGUCGCUGGGACAACGUCUUUGUGGAUUCCAGAGGUGAACUGUGAUCCAUGGAACACGUUAGUCUCCGUCUGCAGAGGGCUCUGGAUGGAGCUGGGAGCUGAAGGAAAGAGCUGAGGGCAUAAGGUUUCAGGAUGUGAAAAGACUUGAGGAAAGAUUUAUCCCUGCUGAUUGGAAGUGGGAGAAAGUUUUCCAGUCCCAGAUUUCCCCACCAACACCAGAGCCUGGCUGAGGGGUCCAUCACCAUCACAGAGCUGCUGAAGAUCGGUUCUUGUGCUGUGCGUAAAUGGGAAAAACGUUGACCUCAGGUGACAGCCUCAUGGAAUGGAACCUUUCCAGUCUGGGAACAGGUAGGAGUGACUGGAACCAAGAAGGAUCUGCAGGGAUGACGAUGUUAGUCCUCCAGUAACACCCAAGUCAUCACUGCGCUGAGAUGAGAUGGGCAGUUUUAGCUGGACAGAUUCCUCUAAGGCAGAUCAUAGAAUCACGAGGUUGGAAGGGACCCACUGGAUCAUCAAGUCCAACCAUUCCUAACACUCCCUUAAACCAUGUCCCUAAGCACAUAGUUUUUGUCCUACCAAUGAAACGGAGUCCUCAGUGUGGAGCAACUCAGAGAAACACUCCCAGAACUACAUUCAGGCAGUUUACACCUGCUGGGGAUCUCACUCUUGUCCUGGGAGAGAUGAUAGAAAUGAUGCUGUCCCUGCUCGGCAGCGAUUGAGCCUGGCUGUGAGUAGGAAACCGUCGCAGCAGUGCUUCCAGUUACCCAGCAUCUCUCUCCCACGCAUUCCUGCGCAUUGUGCACUGGCUUGGGAGCGUUAUGGGCCGGGAAACCUUUAGCGAUGCGUUAUUCAAAACACACUGGCUUUCCCUGUGAAGUUUCAGUUGUGGUUUGUAGGGCUGGGCUGAGAUUAUUGCAUUUAAAUUCAAGGCAGAUUUCAUUCACUCAUGGGGAAUGAAUGCUGGAUCCUUACUUCCCUGCUAGGAAAUAAGUCCUGGCCAAAUGGAUCUGCUCAGAGGCUCUGACCUCAGGUCACCUGCCUGCUUUUGGACUGCUCAGAAAACAGCUCUGCCCCUCAGCUGGACAGCCGUGUCCUCCAGAAACCUGCUGAGAUGUUGACAUGUUGCAUUCACAGUAGCUUCUGGCUGUGGGAGAAGGAUGGAAGACCGGUGAGGGAAUGCAGAGCUAAGGAGAGGUUUCUCCUGUGUACGAGUAGUCUCUGAUUUGGGCAGAGUGACAAAGGUCCAACCCUUCAACAGAAGGAACCACCACAAAGUCUGCUCCCUGUUCCCAUGGUCUACAUGACCAACAUGAGGCUCUCAGAGAUAAAAGCGUGGACUGGGACACCACCGUGCAAUCUAAUCCUGACCUUGCUUCAUUGUUUAAAUUGCUGAAGCCUUGAUGUGUGGUAGAGGCUGAGUAAACCUCAGAUCUGGUUGCAGCUGAAGCAGAAACCUCUGCGCAGGCAUUGACACCAGAUGGUCUCAGCUGGGUUGAUGUCCUGUGGCUGAGGAAAAGCAGUAUAGAAUCUGUCAUGUAGAUGUGGCCUCAGAGUCUCCAAAGGCGAGUAAAGGAACCUUGGUGUUUGAGCUGCCUAAAAUCAGACUGGGCUAACUUUUGGGGAGCCUGUGGGGCAAAAUCCUGCUGCCACGAUCCUGGGGUUUGCUGUUUGACAGCGAUGGGGAGAGGCCUUCCCUCGAACGCUCUGCAGUCACUCCAGUAUAAGGUUCAGGAGAGCUGAUGUUUGCUCCUGACUUUGACAAAUACAUCAGUAGGUUUGUACCCUCUGGAUCCUUAUCUUUACAAGGACAAGGAGAAACAGCUUUAAAUUGGAGUGGGGCAGGUUUAGACUAGACAUUGGGAAGAAAUUCUUCGCGAUGAGGGUGGGGAGGCCCUGGCCCAGGUUGCCCAGAGCAGUG